This 1893-nucleotide long non-coding RNA is filed under the name Homo sapiens (human). Its description in RNAcentral is "HSALNT0366877". The record is from RNAcentral. Lineage: Eukaryota; Metazoa; Chordata; Mammalia; Primates; Hominidae.
UAAAUAGAAUAAAAUAACACUAAUCAUAUACAUGCUCUUAAAACACUUAGGAGAAAGAAAUAAUUCCACAUUUAGGAUAUGAGGAUAAGCUUAUCCUAAAACAAAAACCAUCAUAAGAAAAGCAGACUACAAACAAAUAUGUCUCAUGAAUGUAAAUGAAAAAAAUCAUUAACACGUUAGUAAACUGAACUAAAAAUAAAUACAGAGAAUAACACAUCAUGACUGAGGAUUAACCCAGGAAUUUCAAGUGGUUUAACAUCUGAAAAUCAAUCAAUGUAACUUAUCAUAUUAAUAAAGGAAAAAAUUCAUAUGAUCUUUUCAACAAUUGCUGAGAAAGAAUUCAGAAAAAUGCAACACUCAUUUAUUGAUAAAAAUAUUAAAGAAAGUAGGAAGAGCAGGGACCUUCCUUAACAUUAUAAAGGGCAUCUACAAAAAAUCUGCAGUUAACAUCAUACUUAAUGGUGAAAGACAAUACUUUUCACCCUAGGUCAGGAAUUGGGCAAGGAUUUGCAUGCUCACCACUUAUGGUCUCCAUUAUUCUGGAGGUCUUCUCCAGCACAAUCAUACAAAAAAACAAUCAAAGACAUACAAGGGAUGGAAGAAGUCAAACUGUCUUUAUUUAGAGAUGUCAUGAUUGUAUAUAUAGAAAAUCCCAAGGAAUCUACAAAAAAGCUAUUAGAAAGAUCUCAGGAUAAUAAUGUACAAAAAAAUCGUAAUACAUUGUGGUAGUUUUCAAAUUUCCACAAAUUCUUUGGCACCCUUCUCUUUAAAAGGUGGAUUCUAAUCGCCUUUCCUUGAAUGUGGGCUGGUCAUAACACCUUGCUUCUAAUUAAUAGAACCUGGUGGAAGUGAGCGUGUGUGACGUCUGAGGUGAGGUCACAAUAGGCAUUACUAUUUCUGCCUUGUUCUUUUGGAUGGCUUCGUCUGGAGCCAGGGGUCUUGCCAUGAAGGACAUUCAAGCAGUUCUGAGGAGAGGCCCAAGUGAAGAGGAACCAGUUGCCAGCACCACCCUGUCAGCUAUGUUAGGCCCCUGCCUAUAUAAACAAUUUGAUUAAAAACAUAUAUUUAAAAAUUCAUCAGUACAUGUGAGAUAUGAUGAUUUAUCAUUGAAGAUUUAGGAUGAUGGGCAGAGAAAGGCAAUCUGUUUUGUCUAUUGUCCAAUCAGUGCACGUGAAGAUUUGUUACAGUAUCCAGAAAAGACUAAAAAAGACCAAGCCUGUUAAACAACUCCAUCAAAGAAAAACAAGGAAGCCAUCCAGCUUUGUUCUGGACUCAGCAGCUAAGAUGGCAUGAGCUUCAUCGUAAAGCAUAGUUCUAUGUCAUGUCUACUGGAUGAAUCCAAUGUGGCUGGUCCCUUAAUAAAAUAAGUUGUAACAUAAAUGAGACUGCACAUGUUUUCCUGUUUGGUGCUGAGAACAAAGCUGCCCAGUUAGAGAAAAUAUGAAUCCCACUGUUCCAUUGGCUCCUGUAAAAAUGUUUUGGGGUAUAUAUAAAACUGUCUGUUGCUCUCUUGGAGAUUCAAUUGCUCCAAAAAGCUCUACAUAUUAUCUAUGAAAUCUACUUGUGUAUCUCAUCUGGAAGGAUACAUAUGCAAAUGUUAACAGGAUUAUACGUUUCAUAAGAAAAUCUUCCAUGACCUUCUCCAUCACUACCUCUGGGAUCCAGGACUGUUAACACUACUGGAGAGCAUUGUAUUCCACAGAGAUUUCAAAGCAGUGCACAUAACAUCUGAAUAUUGCAUUUUAUCACAAAGAUGAGGAAGAGGAAGAAUACUGGACUGCUCUGUCUCUUGCUGUCCUUAAAUUUAACACUGAAUCACUAAGGUUUUAUCCAGGAAUAGUACUCAAAGUGCUCAGAUGUUCCUUUAAAUUCAUUUACCUGGGUAACUGCUGA